UGAACGCUGGCGGCGUGCCUAAUACAUGCAAGUCGAGCGACCAGAUGAGGAGCUUGCUCCUCUGACGUUAGCGGCGGACGGGUGAGUAACACGUGGAUAACCUACCUAUAAGACUGGGAUAACUUCGGGAAACCGGAGCUAAUACCGGAUAAUAUAUUGAACCGCAUGGUUCAAUAGUGAAAGACGGUUUUGCUGUCACUUAUAGAUGGAUCCGCGCCGCAUUAGCUAGUUGGUAAGGUAACGGCUUACCAAGGCAACGAUGCGUAGCCGACCUGAGAGGGUGAUCGGCCACACUGGAACUGAGACACGGUCCAGACUCCUACGGGAGGCAGCAGUAGGGAAUCUUCCGCAAUGGGCGAAAGCCUGACGGAGCAACGCCGCGUGAGUGAUGAAGGUCUUCGGAUCGUAAAACUCUGUUAUUAGGGAAGAACAAAUGUGUAAGUAACUAUGCACGUCUUGACGGUACCUAAGCAGAAAGCCACGGCUAACUACGU
RNAcentral lists this ribosomal RNA (494 nucleotides) under uncultured bacterium. Its description in RNAcentral is "partial 16S ribosomal RNA". It matches the Rfam family "Bacterial small subunit ribosomal RNA", at positions 30 to 506 of the family's 1533-position model. The record is from RNAcentral.